GACGAACGCUGGCGGCGUGCUUAACACAUGCAAGUCGAACGGUGAAAGCGGAGCUUGCUCCGCUGGAUCAGUGGCGAACGGGUGAGUAACACGUGGGCAACCUGCCCCUCACUUCGGGAUAACUCCGGGAAACCGGGGCUAAUACCGGAUAUGACCUCCUUGGGCAUCCUUGGAGGUGGAAAGUUCUUCGGUGAGGGAUGGGCCCGCAGCCUAUCAGCUUGUUGGUGAGGUAGUGGCUCACCAAGGCGACGACGGGUAGCCGGCCUGAGAGGGCGACCGGCCACACUGGGACUGAGACACGGCCCAGACUCCUACGGGAGGCAGCAGUGGGGAAUAUUGCGCAAUGGGCGAAAGCCUGACGCAGCAACGCCGCGUGCGGGAUGACGGCCUUCGGGUUGUAAACCGCUUUCAGCAGGGAAGAAGCCGCAAGGUGACGGUACCUGCAUAAGAAGCACCGGCUAACUACGUGCCAGCCGCCGCGGUAA
RNAcentral lists this ribosomal RNA (485 nucleotides) under uncultured bacterium. RNAcentral describes it as "partial 16S ribosomal RNA". It matches the Rfam family "Bacterial small subunit ribosomal RNA", at positions 28 to 523 of the family's 1533-position model. The record is from RNAcentral.